Molecule: non-coding RNA, 110 nt
Organism: Xylariaceae sp. FL0594
Lineage: Eukaryota; Fungi; Ascomycota; Sordariomycetes; Xylariales; Xylariaceae
Source: the annotation of a GenBank genome assembly
CUCCUGAUAGCUCAGUUGGUAGAGCGAUGGACUGUAAUAGAAAUUUCAAUUCCUGUUUUCAACACACGUUGGAGAUCCACAGGUCGCGUGUUCGACUCACGCUCGGGAGA